Non-coding RNA from Podarcis muralis (Common wall lizard), 795 nucleotides. NCBI's taxonomy places the organism in Eukaryota, Metazoa, Chordata, Lepidosauria, Squamata, Lacertidae. The record is from RefSeq and is a predicted model, not a curated record.
GAUGGAAAGCACCCAUCUUUCUUACUGGCAAAGGGAAGUGCAGCGAGGCCGCCAUGUUUGCGCCGGGCAGUAAGCGAAGAGCUGAACGAAGGGACUUGUCUUUGUUGUUACUACGGCAACUUCCCCGCACCAUCCAAUGCAGCCGCCAUAUUUGAUGUGGGCAAAGAAGAUUAAAGGUCAUUUUUGACACUCAGGGAGGCGCCAAAUUUUCGUUUUGAAAUGCAUAAACUAAAACAAAACCAAAUCGUUCGCGUGGUCAGAGAAGCACCAUUAUUUAUUGUGAGGAGAAAAGUAAGAGCAGGAAAUCAGUGAUGAGUGGAACCUUGGGUUACGGCAGGGAUCUGUUCUGGAGGCCCCACCACAACCUGAAAAUGAUGCACGUCGAAGCGCCACAUCUGCACAUGCACGGUGCGAUUUAGAGCUUCUAUGUGAGCCGCAAACCCAGAGGUAACCUGUUCUGGUACUUCCAGGCUUGCCGCGGACGUUCGCCAAAGCGGACACAAGCGGAGGCAGACGCAGAACGAGAUGCUUCAGCAGCUCAGGGUUUAGAUCCUUGGGCAAGAACCGGUGAGCCAGGCCAGGCAACAGGAUCCUGCAAAAUCGGCAGAAAGAAACCACAGGUUUCCCUCCUGAGUGACACUGCAUUGUUGUGGCAUCUGCCUGGACAAUUUAGUAUUCAAAGGACCCUGGGCUGCCACUACUGACCCAGCUUGGCUAUUGGAUCCUACUGGCCAGCAAAAACUGUAAGUGAACUUCUUGUUCCAGGUAAGCCUUGUUCAAGGCUUGUCUCCCUGA